GCCCUUGGUGUGGGCCAGACUUCUCUAAUCUGAAGAAAUGAAGCAAUUUUCCAUAGUAUAAGUAGCUGGCUUAACAAUAUCCUUCUCUGUAGCAAAAAUCCUGUUUCUCUCAAAUUACAAUACCCUUUUUCCUUUCGGUAAAAACAAUCUAAUCGCGUAGAUGGCUAUACGUUUCCCUUAUGUGCUUAGUAUUACCUAAGGGGUGUUUACCGGUUUGACGUUUGUGUAGGUGAUUUGGUUGAUAAGAAGAAAUCUGUGGUGCAGCUUUCUUACUUGAAUCGCCCUGUGUUUCGAAAAUUGCUACAGCGCACUGAAGAAGAGUUCGGGUUUAAUCAACUUAUGGGUGGUCUGACGAUUCCUUGCAGCAUAUCUAAGUUUCCAAAUUUGUUGAAAUGUGCACUCUAUUGUUCUUCAUGACCCUGCCGCAAAUAUCGACAGAAUUAGGCGUUAUACAUUGCAGAGCAGAAUGAACGAUUCACGAUUACAGACAAUAACGACAAUGCCAAAGCUUAUCUAAAAAAAUUGGCCUCAGCUACAUGAACUAACACCAUCCUUGUUUUUAGGUAGUCAAUAAAAAUAUAGACUUUGUAACUUGAGAAGGAAUUUAACAUAGACAAGCGAAUGUAUUUGAGUUCAUAAAUACCGAGCAAUUUUGGAAUCUAAUCGUUGAAGAUUCCCAAGGCGAUCCAUGGGAUUCAUAAAGGUCGGUAAAUGGAACCUAAGACACAACGUAUCGAGCCAAGUCCUCAAAAUAAAUAUGAACAUUGAAGGAUAUUGGAGCACAGAUUAAGCCAGGUUGUAAAUUAUUGCAGCAAAUUUCUUAUGUUUGUAACAUUUCUAAGGCAGAAAUAUAAUUUAUCGAGGUGUCUAUCGAGAAUAUCCACAUAGGAGAUAGGUUCAUCGCAUAGUGCACAGACUCAAAUAACAUGUAAUGCAUCAUCUUCAUCAAACAAUAAGUAAACAAUUGAGCUUCAACCAUCGAUUUAAGCUUUUGGUUGAGUUGGUUCCCUGACAUGGUAUCUAAAUCGAAUAUAACGGAUGGUUACAGGCGAUACUCGAAUUGAGGGGCACCCUUUGAUCGCGACCUCCAAGUGAUGAAGUGACUUCAUAUGUCAGGCGAUACUAAAAUUGAGGGGUUCCUUUUGAUCGCAACCUUCUAGUGAUGAGAAUAUUAGUUUUGCCUUUCUUUCCACCCUUCUCAAACCUAG
Molecule: long non-coding RNA, 1208 nt
Organism: Amaranthus tricolor (Joseph's coat)
Lineage: Eukaryota; Viridiplantae; Streptophyta; Magnoliopsida; Caryophyllales; Amaranthaceae
Exons: 3
Source: RefSeq, a predicted model, not a curated record